RNAcentral lists this ribosomal RNA (301 nucleotides) under uncultured bacterium. Its description in RNAcentral is "partial 16S ribosomal RNA". It matches the Rfam family "Bacterial small subunit ribosomal RNA", at positions 509 to 807 of the family's 1533-position model. The record is from RNAcentral.
CAGUAGCCGCGGUAAUACAGAGGGUGCAAGCGUUAAUCGGAAUUACUGGGCGUAAAGGGCGCGUAGGUGGUUGCGUAAGUGAGAUGUGAAAUCCCCGGGCUUAACCUGGGACGUGCAUCUUAUACUGCGUAACUGGAGUGCAAGAGAGGGUAGUGGAAUUUCCGGUGUAGCGGUGAAAUGCGCAGAUAUCGGAAGGAACACCAGUGGCGAAGGCGGCAACCUGGUCCUUGACUGACGCUGAGGCGCGAAAGCGUGGGGAGCAAACAGGAUUAGAUACCCCCGUAGUCCCUGUCUCUUAUAC